AGUGAACGCUGGCGGUAGGCCUAACACAUGCAAGUCGAACGGCAGCACAAUAAGAGCUUGCUCUUACGGGUGGCGAGUGGCGGACGGGUGAGGAAUACAUCGGAAUCUACUUUUUCGUGGGGGAUAACGUAGGGAAACUUACGCUAAUACCGCAUACGACCUACGGGUGAAAGCAGGGGAUCUUCGGACCUUGCGCGAUUGAAUGAGCCGAUGUCGGAUUAGCUAGUUGGCGGGGUAAAGGCCCACCAAGGCGACGAUCCGUAGCUGGUCUGAGAGGAUGAUCAGCCACACUGGAACUGAGACACGGUCCAGACUCCUACGGGAGGCAGCAGUGGGGAAUAUUGGACAAUGGGCGCAAGCCUGAUCCAGCCAUACCGCGUGGGUGAGGAAGGCCUUCGGGUUGUAAAGCCCUUUUGUUGGGAAAGAAAAGCAGCAGGUUAAUACCCCGCUGUUCUGACGGUACCCAAAGAAUAAGCACCGGCUAACUUCGUG
This 492-nucleotide ribosomal RNA is filed under the name uncultured bacterium. RNAcentral describes it as "partial 16S ribosomal RNA". It matches the Rfam family "Bacterial small subunit ribosomal RNA", at positions 29 to 507 of the family's 1533-position model. The record is from RNAcentral.